AUACGUAGGGGGCGAGCGUUGUCCGGAAUGAUUGGGCGUAAAGGGCGCGUAGGCGGCGCGGUAAGUCUGGAGUGAAAGUCCUGCUUUCAAGGUGGGAAUUGCUUUGGAUACUGCCGCGCUUGAGUGCAAGAGAGGUUAUCGGAAUACCCGGUGUAGCGGUGAAAUGCGUAGAGAUCGGGAGGAACACCAGUGGCGAAGGCGGGUAACUGGACUGCAACUGACGCUGAGGCGCGAAAGUGUGGGGAGCAAACAGGAUUAGAUACCCUGGUAGUCCACACUGUAAACGAUGAAUGCUAGGUGUAAGAGGUAUCGACCCCUUUUGUGCCGGAGUCAACACAAUAAGCAUUCCGCCUGGGGAGUACGGCCGCAAGGUUGAAACUCAAAUGAAUUGACGGGG
This 397-nucleotide ribosomal RNA is filed under the name uncultured bacterium. RNAcentral describes it as "partial 16S ribosomal RNA". It matches the Rfam family "Bacterial small subunit ribosomal RNA", at positions 523 to 918 of the family's 1533-position model. The record is from RNAcentral.